GAAAUGCGAUAAGUAGUGUGAAUUGCAGAAUUCAGUGAAUCAUCGAAUCUUUGAACGCACAUUGCGCCCUUUGGUAUUCCAAAGGGCAUGCCUGUUCGAGCGUCAUUUGUACCCUCAAGCUUUGCUUGGUGUUGGGCGUCUUGUCUCCAGUUCGCUGGAGACUCGCCUUAAAGUAAUUGGCAGCCGGCCUACUGGUUUCGGAGCGCAGCACAAGUCGCGCUCUCUUCCAGCCAAGGUCAGCAUCCACAAAGCCUUUUUUCAACUUUUGACCUCGGAUCAGGUAGGGAUACCCGCUCAACUUAAGC
This 305-nucleotide unclassified non-coding RNA is filed under the name plant metagenome. RNAcentral's name for it is "partial contains 5.8S ribosomal RNA, internal transcribed spacer 2, and large subunit ribosomal RNA". The stretch from base 1 to 105 matches the Rfam family "5.8S ribosomal RNA", at positions 50 to 154 of the family's 154-position model. The record is from RNAcentral.